UACGGAGGUGGCAAGCGUUGUUCGGAAUUACUGGGCGUAAAGGGCGCGUAGGCGGCUUGGCAAGUCAGAUGUGAAAGCCCCGGGCUCAACUCGGGAAUUGCAUCUGAAACUGCCUGGCUUGAGUCCUGGAGGGGGCAGUGGAAUUCCCAGUGUAGCGGUGAAAUGCGUAGAUAUUGGGAGGAACACCGGUGGCGAAGGCGUCUGCCUGGACAGUGACUGACGCUGAGGUGCGAAAGCUAGGGGAGCAAACGGG
Molecule: ribosomal RNA, 253 nt
Filed under: uncultured bacterium
Lineage: Bacteria
Description: partial 16S ribosomal RNA
Rfam family: Bacterial small subunit ribosomal RNA
Source: RNAcentral